GGCGGCGGCGACCCCGGACAGGACGCGGCCGGAGUGCAGCAGGGCCAUGGUGGGCGGCGAGAGGGCAGUGGACAGCUGCAGGACGGAACGGAGAGCCGGCGGGCGCGGACACGGAGGCGCGGGCUCCGUCUGAAGGAAGAUUCACCCGGAGCUAACAUCUGUUGCCAGUCUUCCUCUUCUUGUAUGUGGGCUGCCACCAUAUGCCUGCUGAUGAAUGGUCUGUGCUGGGAACCGAACCUGGGCCGCCAAAGUGGAGCACACUGAACUUAACCACUAGGUCACCAGGGUUGGCCCAACAGCUGGGAAUUCUGCUGGAGUUAUGAAAGCUACCUGGAAUUGCACUGUCUAGUCACCAGGGACCAACAAAGACAAGGCUUUGCAGGCAAGUCAAUAACUCUUCUCAACCAAAGCCCCACACUUCCCACCCCAAUCCUGUUGAAGGUGUAGACUGUAGGAGUCUAGAGACUGGAAGGCCUUUCAGAGCUCUUUUAGGACAGUGCUUCUCACACUGUCAGGGGCAUCAGAAUCACCAGGGAUCUUGUUACCAUGCACAUUCUGAUUCAACCGGUCUUGGGUGGGGUCUGCCAUUCUGCUUUCCUAACAAGCUCCAGGUGAGACCCAUGCUGCUGGUCGGUAGAUCACAUUUUGAGCAGCAUAGAUCUAAGCUAUGCCUUGCCAGUCUUUUAUAGAUGUCACAGGAAGCCUGUGUCCCAAACUCCAGAGUUCCCACUAUAUCAAUGGAAAACCUGAGGCCAAAAGAGGGAAGUGUUGCCUGAAGUCACAUAGCCAACUGGGGUUCGAGACCAGAGACAAAAGCACAGGCCAGCCUGCCCCAGGGAAGUGCAGAGCCGCAGAGGAAGAGGCUGGGGCAGGCACUGCCCUCCCACAGUCAGCCUCCUCCUAGCUGAAGGCAGGAGAGAGUUUCUGGUGACUCUGCCCCUCCUCAGGGUGGGAGAGCAUCUCCCAAGCCCCUGCAGAGCAUCCUGGGCUCUGGCUAGUGGACCCUCUAGAAACCUCACCCACCGGCUCACAGAGUGUCUCCAAACACUUUUCUGUGUAUGUGAAAUUACUCUGGAAAAGUACAUCCCCCUACCUCCACUUGCUAACUA
This is a long non-coding RNA of Equus quagga, 1109 nucleotides long. RefSeq lists it as uncharacterized. NCBI's taxonomy places the organism in Eukaryota, Metazoa, Chordata, Mammalia, Perissodactyla, Equidae. The record is from RefSeq and is a predicted model, not a curated record. The transcript has 3 exons.